RNAcentral lists this ribosomal RNA (290 nucleotides) under uncultured bacterium. RNAcentral describes it as "partial 16S ribosomal RNA". It matches the Rfam family "Bacterial small subunit ribosomal RNA", at positions 773 to 1060 of the family's 1533-position model. The record is from RNAcentral.
GUGGAUUAGAUACCCUGGUAGUCCACGCCGUAAACGAUGAUAACUAGCUGUCUGGGUACUUGGUACUUAGGUGGCGCAGCUAACGCAUUAAGUUAUCCGCCUGGGGAGUACGGUCGCAAGAUUAAAACUCAAAGGAAUUGACGGGGGCCUGCACAAGCGGUGGAGCAUGUGGUUUAAUUCGAAGCAACGCGCAGAACCUUACCAGCGUUUGACAUGUCCGGACGAUUUCCAGAGAUGGAUUUCUUCCCUUCGGGGACUGGAACACAGGUGCUGCACGGCUGUCGACAACU